CCACAUUCGUGCAUCAUGUUUCAAAUAACAACGCCGCCACCGUCAACGCACUUUUGAUGUCUAUGUUGUAUAUGUGUGCAUGGGUUAAGUUAGCCAACAAACGAACAAUAACAAUAGCAAGUAGUGGUGUAUUUGCCCCCAAAUAAUUCACAAUAGCCAAUGGGAUUUUUUUGCAUUUCUUUUACUUGCUCAUCCAUGAUAGCAAUCUAUAGUGAUAUGUAAAAAUGACGUAGGGGGUUGUUUUUAACAUUGGUGAGAAAAAAAUUUAAUUUUGCUGUGCCAAUCGACCAUUUUUCUAACACUGAAAAAUUUUGACGUUUGUCAAAAAUCAAAAGGUAAACAACAUGUACGCGCCACAUAAUAAUGCAAGAAAAAACCAGAAAAUAAUAAUUAUUUGCGUAAUGAUAAUUUUUCAAAAAUAAUUUCUAUUACUGCUAGUAAUAGAAAUACGAACGUUGCAGUUUGGAGAUAUUUUAGGUGUUGCUUUGGAAAAGAGGAAAACACGGCGAGUAAGACAAAUUAUGUUAUUUUAAAGACAUCUAUAUUAAUUAUUUCCCAAUUUUAUGAAGUUUUGUACAUGGAACCUGCAAAUGCAAAUUUGCUUAUAUUUUUUUCUAUUGUUUACAUUAAAAUGAUGAAAGAAACUCAUGCCAGGUGCACAAAACUAUUGACGCCGUUAUGGAAAAAUCGCUAAACGGCGGCGUCAUCAUUUCAAUAAACUACAAACACAAUAAUGUACUUUAGUCCAUUAUUAUUAAAUAACUACCUUUUAGAAUUCCGUUGCCAAUAAUAAUAAACAAAAAUUUUAUUUAUUUUUUGCAAAAUAAACGACUGUCUAAAGUUAGUGACGUAUUCCCACUUUUGCUUGCAAAUUUUUUAAAGAGAGUAAAAAGGCUCUUACUCUCCUUCAAAUUUUUUGUGAAAAGUACGCGAACAGAGCUAUUAUUUGCAAAAAUACAAUUUAUUGAAAGUUUUUGUCUACAACAUCGUGGUGUCUUCAACUAGUACUCAUAGAUAUUUUUACAAAUCUAUUUUAUUUGCUCAGUGGGAAUUCCGUGUUGAAACUUCACGAAAAAAAAACUUGUAUAUUUUUACUAUGUAGAGACAGCCAUCGACGCGAGAGCAACAAAUAACCUUUUAAAUAAGACAGCAGCAACAAAAAGUUGGAUAUACCCAUCAAAAUUUCGGUAACUGACCGAUCCAAAGCAGCAGAUUCGUUAUGACGUUUGAGGGGAGUUUUUUGAAAAUUUUAAUUGGGGUGUUGUAACUUUGAACGAUAGCUGAUGGUUGACUCUUGUGGUUUAUCGUUAGCAAUUUGACAUGAGAAAAUAGAUUUAUGGAGAUAUUCACACCUUCUAUUAAAUGCUCUAGUCCCUUAAGUCUGAAACAGUAAACAACAUCAUUAUCGUCAUACAUCUAAAGUUUUAAAACUUAAAAAUACUCAAAAUA
This is a long non-coding RNA of Stomoxys calcitrans (stable fly), 1449 nucleotides long. RefSeq lists it as uncharacterized. The record is from RefSeq and is a predicted model, not a curated record. NCBI's taxonomy places the organism in Eukaryota, Metazoa, Arthropoda, Insecta, Diptera, Muscidae. The transcript is spliced from 2 exons.